CGGCGGACGGGUGAGUAACGCGUGGAUAACCUGCCUCACACAGGGGGAUAACAGUUAGAAAUGACUGCUAAUACCGCAUAAGCGCACGGUACCGCAUGGUACAGUGUGAAAAACUCCGGUGGUGUGAGAUGGAUCCGCGUCUGAUUAGGUAGUUGGUGAGGUAACGGCCCACCAAGCCGACGAUCAGUAGCCGACCUGAGAGGGUGACCGGCCACAUUGGGACUGAGACACGGCCCAAACUCCUACGGGAGGCAGCAUG
Molecule: ribosomal RNA, 259 nt
Filed under: uncultured bacterium
Lineage: Bacteria
Description: partial 16S ribosomal RNA
Rfam family: Bacterial small subunit ribosomal RNA
Source: RNAcentral